RNAcentral lists this ribosomal RNA (845 nucleotides) under uncultured fungus. Its description in RNAcentral is "SSU rRNA". It matches the Rfam family "Eukaryotic small subunit ribosomal RNA", at positions 3 to 877 of the family's 1831-position model. The record is from RNAcentral. Lineage: Eukaryota; Fungi.
CCUGGUUGAUUCUGCCAGUAUUCAUAUGCUUGUCUCAAAGAUUAAGCCAUGCAUGUCUAAGUAUAAGCAACUUUGUACUGUGAAACUGCGAAUGGCUCAUUAAAUCAGUUAUAGUUUAUUUGAUGGUUUUUGCUACAUGGAUAACUGUGGUAAUUCUAGAGCUAAUACAUGCAUUCAAGCCCCGACUUCUGGAAGGGGUGUAUUUAUUAGAUAAAAAUCAACUUUGUUGGUGAAUCAUAAUAACUUCUCGGACCGCAUGGCCUCGUGCUGGCGGUGCUUCAUUCAAAUAUCUGCCCUAUCAACUGUCGAUGGUAGGAUAGAGGCCUACCAUGGUUGCAACGGGUAACGGGGAAUAAGGGUUCGAUUCCGGAGAGGGAGCCUGAGAAACGGCUACCACAUCCAAGGAAGGCAGCAGGCGCGCAAAUUACCCAAUCCCAACACGGGGAGGUAGUGACAAUAUGUAACAAUAUACGGCCUUAUACGUCGUAUAAUUGGAAUGAGUACAAUUUAAAUCCCUUAACGAGGAACAAUUGGAGGGCAAGUCUGGUGCCAGCAGCCGCGGUAAUUCCAGCUCCAAUAGCGUAUAUUAAAGUUGUUGCAGUUAAAAAGCUCGUAGUUGGACCUUGGACCUGGACAGGCGGUCCGCCUCACGGCGAGUACUGUCUUGCUGGGUCUUUCCUCUUGGUGAUCUGUUGUUUCGGCAGCAGGGAACCAGGACCUUUACUUUGAAAAAAUUAGAGUGUUCAAAGCAGGCUCGACGCCGGAAUAUAUUAGCAUGGAAUAAUAAAAUAGGACGUGCGGUUCUAUUUUGUUGGUUUUUGGAAUCGCCGUAAUGAUUAAUAGGG